UCUGCCUUUGCGACCCUGGAGCCAGCGUGGUUUGGGGAUGCUGAAGAAGCCACAGGCAGCCGGCCUGGACUGGAAUCACUGAAAAGACACCCCAGAAGACCUCAGGGUGUAAAAGAACUGCCCUCCCAAGAGAGGAAGCAAGUUGGAGAUUGCACAGCGCCUUCUCUGAACGUUAUACACAGACGUGGCCAGUCUGGACAUACGUGUGUGUGUGGACGGAACUGAGCCUCUCAUUCAUAAUUCCUCAAAGUGGAAGCCAUCGCGUGUGAUGAAGCUGUAAGGUCGAAUUGGGAUCCUUCUGUCCCGUCCCUUGUAGUGAUCACCGUGUGUUUGAAAGCAGAAGUUAGAAGUAAAAGGCAAUCAAAAGUCUGGAAAAGUUAAUUGUGUCCCUUUUUAAGUAAGAAUCUUUAAGCUGUGGAUAGCUUUGGAUUUGGAAGCAAGCCAGAAAGCAUCUGUAUUAAUGCAAUUUUCUAACUAAUAAGGUAGAAGCCACUGAAACCUGGGCUGCCUAUGAAACAAAUACAAGGAAAUAUGGGGUAAUUCCUCUGUUUUGUCUAAAAUCAACAAGAGUAUGUGUAUAUAAAGGAAUUAUUUUAAGCAAUGACUGACUACCCAGAAGGGUAGACCUCUGUUCUUUUGUCUUUCAGAUCAUCAGAGAAAACGGAUGCCAGCUGAACAGCAUUCAAUGUACCAUGCAUUUACUGGUACAAUAGGAAUUAUUUUUGUGUUCUAUGUCCUAUCUUGUGGGGUUUGUCUUGUGGCCAGAAUUGUUGUUAAAUAUUUUCAUAAGACAGUCUAAUUCAAAAUUAAAUAGAAGGGUUAAAUCAAAAAGCAGAUACUUGUUUUAUUCAACUUGGAAUACAAAGUGUUUGGAUAAAUCAGGAAAAUGUGAUUAUACUAAAGUCUAAUACAUUUGCUUAAGUAAGAAAAAGAAAUUUCAUUGGCCAGAUUUUUUUAAUUGAAAAAUUGUUGUUAAAAUUUGCAUACCAACAAUCUUUGGAAGCAAGGACAUGGAAGGUUAACCCACUCCCAUAUUGCUCAUGGGAUCCUUCUGGCUACCUCAGAUUUCUAGCCAGAUGGUGGGAAGGGAGGAAAGCUAUUGGACACCAGAGGUUGUACUGAGUGGACUCCUCAAAAGUGGGUGUGCUUGUCCUGGUUUGUUGCUCCAAAGCUCUGUAAUAAAGUUAUUUUACAGGAAGGGUGUACAUGGCAUACACUGAAUAAUAAGACUAAUGUACUGUAUAAUGUCAAUGUGUAUGUGUUCAUUAUUGGGAAAAGGUGUAUGAGUGAAAAGUGGAAGUUUCCUUUGUAGGUUAAAAGAAGCCAAGAAGGGAAAAAGGAAAAAGAACAGAAUGAGUUAACUGAAAAAAAAUAGCUAGCAAGCUCAGUCCAAAGAUAAGACACUGGCCCAAUCCAAGGACACUCCUACAGCUAAGACUUGGCUGACAGCCAAGAAAAGGGGGGCCUGAAUAUGCCCAAGCAACUAUGAGAUCUGCAAAACACUGCCAGGCAUUAAUGAAAUGUGUUAGGUUUCUUUUCUCACAGAUAAAAGAAGUGCUACCCAAAGACCCUAGCAGCCUUGCCAUUCAUUGAAACAAGGAGACUGAGUCUAUGUAAAGUCCAUCAACGAAAGACUGCUUUGGCUCCACACUGGAAAGGCCCUUUCCAAGUCCUGUUAACCACCAACACCACUGUGAAGUGCCAAGGACUACCUGCCUGGACCCAUGCUUCUCACUGUAAAAAGACCCCUCCACCUUGAACUCUCCGACUGAUGAUAAGCCUAUUUCUCCUUCUAGCUCUGCUGUGCCUUCUGGACAGCAGGAAAAAAAAAAGACAAGGUGAAGUGCUGGUAACCUCUCCCUUGUCCACUGACAGACCUACUGUGCCUUUGGAUUUUUCUAGAAGAAGCAAAACCAUUACAGGGUGAUGUGCUAGUAACCUGUGCCCUGUAUGAUGCUAAACCACACUGUUUCAGGAAAAGGAACACUUGCUUCAUUGAAACCACAAAGUCCAGGGAUUCCUGACUACAAGAGACAUUAAGAACUGGCCCUGGUGAAGAAACAAAGAAUUAUACACUGUCAGGAAGAAACUUGUGGGACCCAUGCUUGGGAACGUGGUAUUGAUUGGAUUUUGGGGUUUAUUCUACAGGCUGCGCCCUGUGUUUUGGAUAUGUCCUUCAGCAUGUAUUGCCCUCCCUAAUUGGAUUUUAAAUAAGUACCAAAGGCACCUUGUUGCCAUUGCCCCUGCCAUCUCCUCCAUUACACUAUUACCCCUGUAACACAUCCAAAUACAGACAAUGCCAUAUAUUUGAUAAAACCAGUGACUAAGGCCUUCACACUUUAGCAAUUUAUUUAAAUAUUGUUUGAAAAAAUAUUUUUAAGGUUCAGGAUAUCCCAUAUAAGUGAACAAUUGAAUGGAUCAGUGGAGAUAAAAGUAUAUGAUAUCACUACCAGUGAACCCCAAGAAUCUGUAAUUGCAAUUAAUGGGUUCUAUAGCGAAUGUUCCUGGAAUUUGCACUGUGUUAAAUGAGAGAGGCCCUUAUUGUUAUUCGGUCACCCAAUUAGUGAACAAUUAAAUGAAUACCCAGAGUUUGUUUUGCCACUGGAAAUUUUACCUGCAUAGAAAUUAUUCCAGUGACUAAUAAUGUGACCUGUACCUUACUGCAAUACACCCCUUCUUAUGCCAUUAAUAUCAGUGCCUCCCGGAAGUACUGAAGGUGUUCAACCAACAGAUGUGGUAUAGUACUACACCAAAGAGAGAUGUAUUAGGAUAUCAAUGGACUGUGAUUAACACUACACUAGGGACUGUUAAAUUUUCAUUGCCCUUAUCCAGUUUCCAGAUUACCUCUACAUACCCAAAUUGCUCACAGGGGCGCUGCCAUUAGAUUAGCACAACAGAGGACUUGGGUUAUUUCUUCUAGAAAGAAGAGAGACUUGACCGGAUCCCUAUGGGAUGGGGCCAAUAGUGCAGCAGCAGUUUGGAAUAUUUUUAAGAACCAAGAACAUGAUGAGAAAUUGGGACAACUAGAGAAGGCCAUUGGCCUUGUUUCUGGAGCACAACUAACCCAGGUACAGGCUGGAGUUGGUGAGUUACAUGUUAUUUCCGCCCUUAGUUCUAUGACCCAGAAGUUGCUGACAGAGAUGGUAUUGAAUAUCACUGAGGCUGGGAAGGCAUUCAGUGGGACCUAGCAUGUUCAGAAAUUCAGGAUUUCCUGAAUGACCAGCUAAUGGCCAUUCGGAAUUAUCUAGAGCAUCAGGCUUGGCCCACUGCCCUUACAGACACAUCAGGAGUACCAUCUGAUCUGUGGCCAUGGAGACAUGCUUGGAGACUUUCUGGGUGGAAGUGCAGAUGUUCUCAGUGCUCGUUCCAAGCAUAUGAACCGGUUCGGGGUUGUGGGCUCCCACAUACCCGAAUACUGCCGGGUCCAUGGGGAGGAUGCAUGUGGGAUUGGGUAAUUCACCGAGACAUCUGGGAAAUUAGACCUCCUGGUAUGCCCAAUCGAUUUUUAUUCAGUGCUCCUGGGAUUACAUCUGACAUUUGGAUGGGGUUAGGGAGUCAAUGGACGUUAGAACCCCCACAGCUUCAGUGUAUCCAUAAACUGAAGCCAGGAGUAGUUGUUACUCUUCAUGACUACGUUUGCUGGGAGGGUAGAGGACAAGGAACUACCCUAACAGGACACUUACUUUUUUCAAGCUAAUGAUAGCUGUGUGUAUGUUAAAGCCACCACAUUGCAAAACAUACAUUUUAAUCUCAUUACCACUGCAGGCAAUCAUAUUAUUUACUGGCCUGCAGAUAGAAUUUUGCAAGUAUUCCUUAGGUUCCAGAUACCCUUUAAUUGGACUAGUUUAGUACCUGAUCGAUUUAAAAAUUUGCUUUCACUGUUACCAGAGGUUCAGAAAAUCUCUGAAAUACAAGGGCAAAUUCACAUGCUUCAAUAUAUAUAUAUCAAGUUGAAAAGUAAGCCUUUCAUACAGCUUGUAGAGUGUCCACCUUAUGUACUAAGUAUGAUGUAUUGUGUUUUAUGACUAAGACUGUACAACAACCCCAUCAUAUUAUUGCUAUGGGAAUGUUAUUGCUUGUGUUGUUGUUAGGAGUAUGUUAUUGUUGUUAUAAAGAACGUAAUAAUAGUAAUACCUUUCAUUUCCAUGCUCAUCAUGCAUUGUCAUUACAUCCAAUCAAAACCCUUAAGGUUGAAGCAUCUGAUGUAGAAUCUGAAUUCCAAGACUUAAUGCAAAUAGAGAUUUGAAAAUGUUUGUUGUACUAGUAGUACAAAAGGGGGGGUGUGGAAGCAGAGAAAGAACUGACAGGAAGGGAAUGCAAUGCAUAACAGUUCGUUAGCAAGUUAGGCAAACUGUAACCCUAAUAACGCGAGAUUUAUAGAAGCGAGGAAUGUGUGAGGCAAGUGGGGAAAAAACUGUGUGAGAAGUUAUUGUGACCUUGCGUAGAUAAUAUGGAAUGUAGACUAAGAGUCUACAUUAAGUGAGCAAAACAAGAUAUCAGAAUGACCUAUGUAUAAACAAAAUGCAGCUGUUGCUCAUUAUUGUCUGUAACAAAAGGUAUAAAUGCUUGCUGUAAUUGUUUACCUGUUGAGAGACCUUUUUAGCUCUCUCCCUCUGUGCAAUUGAUAGAGAGAAAAUAAAGUAUCUGAUUUGCUGUACCCAAACAAUAAGUGAGAACUCUAUUAUUCUCC
Long non-coding RNA from Malaclemys terrapin pileata, 4690 nucleotides. RefSeq lists it as uncharacterized. The transcript is spliced from 3 exons. NCBI's taxonomy places the organism in Eukaryota, Metazoa, Chordata, Testudines, Emydidae. The record is from RefSeq and is a predicted model, not a curated record.